RNAcentral lists this ribosomal RNA (400 nucleotides) under uncultured bacterium. RNAcentral's name for it is "bacterial SSU rRNA". It matches the Rfam family "Bacterial small subunit ribosomal RNA", at positions 356 to 773 of the family's 1533-position model. The record is from RNAcentral.
GGGGGAUAUUGCACAAUGGAGGAAACUCUGAUGCAGCAACGCCGCGUGAGGGAAGAAGGUUUUCGGAUUGUAAACCUCUGUCCUCGGUGAAGAUAAUGACGGUAGCCGAGGAGGAAGCCACGGCUAACUACGUGCCAGCAGCCGCGGUAAUACGUAGGUGGCAAGCGUUGUCCGGAAUUACUGGGUGUAAAGGGUGCGUAGGCGGCUAUGCAAGUCAGGCGUGAAAUAUAUGGGCUUAACCCGUAGACUGCGUUUGAAACUGUGUGGCUUGAGUGAGGUAGAGGCAGGCGGAAUUCCCGGUGUAGCGGUGAAAUGCGUAGAGAUCGGGAGGAACACCAGUGGCGAAGGCGGCCUGCUGGGCCUUAACUGACGCUGAGGCACGAAAGCAUGGGUAGCAAAC